RNAcentral lists this long non-coding RNA (216 nucleotides) under Cicer arietinum (chickpea). Its description in RNAcentral is "long non-coding RNA (CARI_LNC003025)". Lineage: Eukaryota; Viridiplantae; Streptophyta; Magnoliopsida; Fabales; Fabaceae. The record is from RNAcentral.
UCCUUCCAAACUUUUAGUUUGCAUUUAGGGACUUGUCUGUAGUUAUGUGGAAAGGAAUUUGUUAGGGUUGAAUGUAUUGAUUUAGGAAAAUGAAUCUAAGGUUCUGUGGGUAAAGUCUUAGAGUUAGGUCUUGACGAUAUUGAUGGGUGUUUCGUGGAAAAUGAACUUAACUCAUUUGUGUAUGAUUAUGGGUAAAUGAAAUUUGAUGUGUUUGAG